UACGGAAGGCAGCAGUGGGGAAUAUUGCACAAUGGGCGCAAGCCUGAUGCAGCCAUGCCGCGUGUAUGAAGAAGGCCUUCGGGUUGUAAAGUACUUUCAGCGGGGAGGAAGGCGAUGCGGUUAAUAACCGCGUCGAUUGACGUUACCCGCAGAAGAAGCACCGGCUAACUCCGUGCCAGCAGCCGCGGUAAUACGGAGGGUGCAAGCGUUAAUCGGAAUUACUGGGCGUAAAGCGCACGCAGGCGGUCUGUUAAGUCAGAUGUGAAAUCCCCGGGCUUAACCUGGGAACUGCAUUUUGAAACUGGCAGGCUUGAGUCUUGUAGAGGGGGUAGAAUUCCAGGUGUAGCGGUGAAAUGCGUAGAGAUCUGGAGGAAUACCGGUGGCGAAGGCGGCCCCUGGGACAAAGACUGACGCUCAGGGUGCGAAAGCGUGGGGAGCAAACGAGGAUUAGGAUACC
Molecule: ribosomal RNA, 457 nt
Filed under: uncultured bacterium
Lineage: Bacteria
Description: bacterial SSU rRNA
Rfam family: Bacterial small subunit ribosomal RNA
Source: RNAcentral